This 468-nucleotide ribosomal RNA is filed under the name uncultured bacterium. Its description in RNAcentral is "partial 16S ribosomal RNA". It matches the Rfam family "Bacterial small subunit ribosomal RNA", at positions 28 to 507 of the family's 1533-position model. The record is from RNAcentral.
GACGAAUGCUGGCGGCGUGCUUAACACAUGCAAGUCGAACGGAAAGGCCCUGCUUUUGUGGGGUGCUCGAGUGGCGAACGGGUGAGUAACACGUGAGUAACCUGCCCUUGACUUUGGGAUAACUUCAGGAAACUGGGGCUAAUACCGGAUAGGAGCUCCUGCUGCAUGGUGGGGGUUGGAAAGUUUCGGCGGUUGGGGAUGGACUCGCGGCUUAUCAGCUUGUUGGUGGGGCAGUGGCUUACCAAGGCUUUGACGGGUAGCCGGCCUGAGAGGGUGACCGGCCACAUUGGGACUGAGAUACGGCCCAGACUCCUACGGGAGGCAGCAGUGGGGAAUAUUGCACAAUGGGCGGAAGCCUGAUGCAGCAACGCCGCGUGCGGGAUGACGGCCUUCGGGUUGUAAACCGCUUUCGCCUGUGACGAAGCGUGAGUGACGGUAAUGGGUAAAGAAGCACCGGCUAACUACGUG